UUCAAUGUGGUGUAGUGGUUUGAGUGUUGGACUAUGACUCUGGAGACCAGGGUUUGAUUCCCUACUUGGCCA
Molecule: non-coding RNA, 72 nt
Organism: Phrynosoma platyrhinos (Desert horned lizard)
Lineage: Eukaryota; Metazoa; Chordata; Lepidosauria; Squamata; Phrynosomatidae
Source: the annotation of a GenBank genome assembly